RNAcentral lists this ribosomal RNA (719 nucleotides) under Scutellospora calospora. RNAcentral describes it as "SSU rRNA". It matches the Rfam family "Eukaryotic small subunit ribosomal RNA", at positions 370 to 1092 of the family's 1831-position model. The record is from RNAcentral. Lineage: Eukaryota; Fungi; Glomeromycota; Glomeromycetes; Diversisporales; Gigasporaceae.
UUAGGGUUCGAUUCCGGAGAGGGAGCCUGAGAAACGGCUACCACAUCCAAGGAAGGCAGCAGGCGCGCAAAUUACCCAAUCCCGACACGGGGAGGUAGUGACAAUAAAUAACAAUACAGGGCUCUUACGGGUCUUGUAAUUGGAAUGAGUACAAUUUAAAUCCCUUAACGAGGAACAAUUGGAGGGCAAGUCUGGUGCCAGCAGCCGCGGUAAUUCCAGCUCCAAUAGCGUAUAUUAAAGUUGUUGCAGUUAAAAAGCUCGUAGUUGAAUUUCGGGAUUCUACCGUUGGUCGGGCUAACAAGUCUGUACUGGUGUGUAGAAUUUCUACCUUCUGGGGAACUAUCAUGUUAUUAAUUUAGCGUGGUGGGAAACCAGGACCUUUACCUUGAAAAAAUUAGAGUGUUCAAAGCAGGCUUACGUCUGAAUACAUUAGCAUGGAAUAAUAGAAUAGGACGGUGGUCCUGUUUUGUUGGUUUCUGAAUCACCGUAAUGAUUAAUAGGGAUAGUUGGGGGCAUUAGUAUUCAAUUGUCAGAGGUGAAAUUCUUGGAUUUAUUGAAGACUAACUUCUGCGAAAGCAUUUGCCAAGGAUGUUUUCAUUAAUCAAGAACGAAAGUUAGGGGAUCGAAGACGAUCAGAUACCGUCGUAGUCUUAACCAUAAACUAUGCCGACUAGGGAUCGGACGAUGUUAAAUUUUAUUGACUCGUUCGGCGCCUUACG